AUACGGAGGGUGCAAGCGUUACUCGGAAUCACUGGGCGUAAAGCGCGCGCAGGCGGGCUGAUAAGUUGGAUGUGAAAGCCUACGGCUCAACCGUAGAACUGCAUCCAAAACUGUCAGUCUAGAGUGUGGGAGGGGAAGAUGGAAUUAGUUGUGUAGGGGUAAAAUCCGUAGAGAUAACUAGGAAUACCAAAAGCGAAGGCAAUCUUCUGGAACACUUCUGACGCUGAGGCGCGAAGGCGUGGGGAGCAAACAGGAUUAGAAACCCGUGUAGUCC
This 274-nucleotide ribosomal RNA is filed under the name uncultured bacterium. RNAcentral's name for it is "partial 16S ribosomal RNA". It matches the Rfam family "Bacterial small subunit ribosomal RNA", at positions 523 to 796 of the family's 1533-position model. The record is from RNAcentral.